UUAUUGACAAGGCAAACUGAGCGAAAGCUCAGGACGCAAAGCUACGGAUCUUCCACUCUUAGGGGUAAAGAUGGCCGAGUUACCAAU
Molecule: non-coding RNA, 87 nt
Filed under: Desulfosporosinus meridiei
Lineage: Bacteria; Bacillati; Bacillota; Clostridia; Eubacteriales; Desulfitobacteriaceae
Also listed under: 1 other name
Description: c-di-GMP sequence
Rfam family: c-di-GMP-I riboswitch aptamer
About the family: GEMM was predicted in a large-scale screen for bacterial structured RNA regulatory elements. Genes associated with GEMM are involved in a diverse array of functions, including chemotaxis regulation, signal transduction, secretion and chitin.
Source: RNAcentral